UACGUAGGGGGCGAGCGUUAUCCGGAUUUACUGGGUGUAAAGGGAGCGUAGACGGCCAUGCAAGCUCGGUGUGAAAGGUGCGGGCACAACCCGCAGACUGCACUGAGAACUGUAUGGCUGGAGUGCCGGAGGGGCAGGCGGAAUUCCUGGUGUAGCGGUGAAAUGCGUAGAUAUCACGAAGAACCCCGAUUGCGAAGGCAGCCUGCCGCAGCGUUACUGACGCUGAAGCUCGAAAGCGCGGGUAUCGAACAGG
Molecule: ribosomal RNA, 253 nt
Filed under: uncultured Eubacteriales bacterium
Lineage: Bacteria; Bacillati; Bacillota; Clostridia; Eubacteriales
Description: uncultured Clostridiales bacterium partial 16S ribosomal RNA
Rfam family: Bacterial small subunit ribosomal RNA
Source: RNAcentral